Molecule: ribosomal RNA, 505 nt
Filed under: uncultured bacterium
Lineage: Bacteria
Description: bacterial SSU rRNA
Rfam family: Bacterial small subunit ribosomal RNA
Source: RNAcentral
UAGUCCACGCGGUAAACGAUGUCAACUAGCCGUUGGAAGACAUGAUCUUUUAGUGGCGCCGCUAACGCAUUAAGUUGACCGCCUGGGGAGUACGGCCGCAAGGUUAAAACUCAAAUGAAUUGACGGGGGCCCGCACAAGCGGUGGAGCAUGUGGUUUAAUUCGAUGCAACGCGAAGAACCUUACCUGGUCUUGACAUCCAGAGAAGACGCUAGAGAUAGUGUUGUGCCUUCGGGAACUCUGAGACAGGUGCUGCAUGGCUGUCGUCAGCUCGUGUUGUGAAAUGUUGGGUUAAGUCCCGUAACGAGCGCAACCCUUAUCCUUAUUUGCCAUCAUUAAGUUGGGAACUCUAAGGAGACUGCCGGUGACAAACCGGAGGAAGGUGAGGACGACGUCAAGUCAUCAUGGCCCUUACGACCAGGGCUACACACGUGCUACAAUGGUGAGUACAGAGGGCAGUGAAACCGCGAGGUGGAACCAAUCCCAAAAAACUCAUCGUAGUCCGGA